This is a long non-coding RNA of Hippocampus comes (tiger tail seahorse), 353 nucleotides long. RefSeq lists it as uncharacterized. Lineage: Eukaryota; Metazoa; Chordata; Actinopteri; Syngnathiformes; Syngnathidae. The record is from RefSeq and is a predicted model, not a curated record. The transcript is spliced from 3 exons.
CCCAUACCUGAAGGCCUCGAGGACGUAGGAGGUGACGGCGGCCCCGCCCUCGUGCGGGUUGGACUGCCAGUAAUCCUGUGUUGUCACGAGGGCACCCCAUUCUGUAGCAGUUAGUACCAGGACUCCUGCCGCACUGCACUGCAGCAAAGAUCCAGAGACCUCAUGAGAUCAUGCUCCGGAGUGUUGACCUUGGCGGUAUGCAAGCGGGUGAACAUCUCCAGAUGACUUCAGCUCCUCAAUGAAAUAUUGAUGGCACGCUGUCGGUGCACCGGCGGGAAAUCCUGACCGAGGGUCCUCCGAUGACUCGGCAGUGCAGGCGGGCUGUGGCGCCCAGGGACAUCGUUUGAUUGGCA